AGUGAACGCUGGCGGUAGGCCUAACACAUGCAAGUCGAACGGCAGCACAGAGGAGCUUGCUCCUUGGGUGGCGAGUGGCGGACGGGUGAGGAAUACAUCGGAAUCUACUCUGUCGUGGGGGAUCACGGAGGGAAACUUACGCUAAUACCGCAUACGACCUACGGGUGAAAGCAGGGGAUCUUCGGACCUUGCGCGAUUGAAUGAGCCGAUGUCGGAUUAGCUAGUUGGCGGGGUAAAGGCCCACCAAGGCGACGCGCCGUAGCUGGUAUGAGAGGAUGAUCAGCCACACUGGAACUGAGACACGGUCCGGACUCCUACGGGAGGCAGCAGUGGGGAAUAUUGGGCAAUGGGCGCAAGCCUGAUCCAGCCAUACCGCGUGGGUGAAGAAGGCCUUCGGGUUGUAAAGCCCUUUUGUUGGGAAAGAAAUCCAGCUGGCUAAUACCCGGUUGGGAUGACGGUACCCAAAGAAUAAGCACCGGCUAACUUCGUGCCAGCCGCCGCCGUAA
Molecule: ribosomal RNA, 506 nt
Filed under: uncultured bacterium
Lineage: Bacteria
Description: partial 16S ribosomal RNA
Rfam family: Bacterial small subunit ribosomal RNA
Source: RNAcentral